RNAcentral lists this ribosomal RNA (253 nucleotides) under uncultured bacterium. RNAcentral describes it as "partial 16S ribosomal RNA". It matches the Rfam family "Bacterial small subunit ribosomal RNA", at positions 524 to 776 of the family's 1533-position model. The record is from RNAcentral.
UACGUAUGGUGCAAGCGUUAUCCGGAUUUACUGGGCGUAAAGGGAGCGCAGGCGGCGCGCCAAGUCUGAUGUGAAACCCCGGGGCUCAACCCCGGGCAUGCAUUGGAAACUGGCGGGCUGGAGUGCCGGAGAGGUAAGCGGAAUUCCUAGUGCAGCGGUGAAAUGCGUAGAUAUAUGGAGGAACACCGGUGGCGAAAGCGGCUCUCUGGCCUGUAACUGACACUGAGGCUCGAAAGCGUGGGGAGCAAACAGG